RNAcentral lists this ribosomal RNA (484 nucleotides) under uncultured bacterium. RNAcentral describes it as "partial 16S ribosomal RNA". It matches the Rfam family "Bacterial small subunit ribosomal RNA", at positions 30 to 507 of the family's 1533-position model. The record is from RNAcentral.
AUUGAACGCUGGCGGCAGGCCUAACACAUGCAAGUCGAGCGGAUGAAGGGAGCUUGCUCCUGGAUUCAGCGGCGGACGGGUGAGUAAUGCCUAGGAAUCUGCCUGGUAGUGGGGGAUAACGUCCGGAAGCGGGCGCUAAUACCGCAUACGUCCUGAGGGAGAAAGUGGGGGAUCUUCGGACCUCACGCUAUCAGAUGAGCCUAGGUCGGAUUAGCUAGUUGGUGGGGUAAAGGCCUUCCAAGGCGACGAUCCGUAACUGGUCUGAGAGGAUGAUCAGUCACACUGGAACUGAGACACGGUCCAGACUCCUACGGGAGGCAGCAGUGGGGAAUAUUGGACAAUGGGCGAAAGCCUGAUCCAGCCAUGCCGCGUGUGUGAAGAAGGUCUUCGGAUUGUAAAGCACUUUAAGUUGGGAGGAAGGGCAGUAAGUUAAUACCUUGCUGUUUUGACGUUACCAACAGAAUAAGCACCGGCUAACUUCGUG